Molecule: ribosomal RNA, 462 nt
Filed under: uncultured bacterium
Lineage: Bacteria
Description: partial 16S ribosomal RNA
Rfam family: Bacterial small subunit ribosomal RNA
Source: RNAcentral
GACGAACGCUGGCGGCGUGCUUAACACAUGCAAGUCGAGCGGAAAGGCCCUUCGGGGUACUCGAGCGGCGAACGGGUGAGUAACACGUGAGUAACCUGCCCCAGACUUUGGGAUAACCCUCGGAAACGGGGGCUAAUACCGGAUACGACACAGCUUCGCAUGGGGUCUGUGUGGAAAGUUUUUCGGUUUGGGAUGGGCUCGCGGCCUAUCAGCUUGUUGGUGGGGUGAUGGCCUACCAAGGCGACGACGGGUAGCCGGCCUGAGAGGGCGACCGGCCACACUGGGACUGAGACACGGCCCAGACUCCUACGGGAGGCAGCAGUGGGGAAUAUUGCACAAUGGGCGGAAGCCUGAUGCAGCGACGCCGCGUGAGGGAUGACGGCCUUCGGGUUGUAAACCUCUUUCAGCAGGGACGAAGCGUAAGUGACAGUACCUGCAGAAGAAGCGCCGGCCAACUACGUG